Long non-coding RNA from Pan troglodytes (chimpanzee), 4146 nucleotides. RefSeq lists it as uncharacterized. NCBI's taxonomy places the organism in Eukaryota, Metazoa, Chordata, Mammalia, Primates, Hominidae. The transcript is spliced from 2 exons. The record is from RefSeq and is a predicted model, not a curated record.
GGUAUAUGAGUAGAAAUAAUCCAUGCAACUCCCAGACCUGGCUUCUGAAUGCCCCUGCACAGUGUUGUACCUGCAGGGAUGCUGGUGCUGACCAUGGUCCAGAACCCACAGGCACAAGAUGGAAGGCCCCUUCCACGCUCUCCCAAUGACUGGGCACCACAGGGAUGCCGGUGCUGACCGUGAUCCAGGAGCCCACAUGCAGAAGAUGGAAGGCCCCUUCCACGCUCUCCCAGUGACUGGGCACCACAGGGAUGCCGGUGCUGACCGUGAUCCAGGAACCCACAUGCAGAAGAUGGAAGGCCCCUUCCACGCCGUCCCAAUGACUGGGCACCACAGGGAUGCCGGUGCUGACCGUGAUACAGAACCCACAUGCAGAAGAUGGAAGGCCCCUUCCACGCCCUCCGAGUGACUGGGUACCACAGGGAUGCCAGUGCUGACCGUGAUCCAGAACCCACAUGCAGAAGAUGGAAGGCCCCAUCCACGCUCUCCCAGUGACUGGGUACUGCAGAGAUGCCGGUGCUGACCGUGAUCCAGAACCCACAGGUAGAAGAUGGAAGGCCCCGUCCAUGCUCUCCCAAUGACUGGGCACCACAGGGAUGCCGGUGCUGACCGUGAUCCAGAACCCACAGGCAGUAGAUGGAAGGACCCGUCCAUGCUCUCCCAAUGACUAGGCACCACAGGGAUGCCGGUGCUGACCGUGAUCCAGAACCCACAGGCAGUAGAUGGAAGGACCCGUCCAUGCUCUCCCAAUGACUGGGCACCACAGGGAUGCCGGUGCUGACCGUGAUCCAGAACCCACAGGCAGAAGAUGGAAGGCCCCGUCCGUGCUCUCCCAAUGACUGGGCACCACAGGGAUGCUGGUGCUGACCGUGAUCCAGAACCCACAGGCAGAAGAUGGAAGGCCCCGUCCGUGCUCUCCCAAUGACUGGGCACCACAGGGAUGCCGGUGCUGACCGUGAUCCAGAACCCACAUGCAGAAGAUGGAAGGCCCUGUCCACGCCCCCCAAUGUCUGGGCACCACAGAGACUCCACCCUUCACUGCCAAACAGGAAGAGCUCCCCAGGGUCACUGCAUUCCUCCGUAACUGUUUUUGUGUGAAACCCUUGCCAUUUGGGGGUUUUUACAGCAGCUAUAAUUAAUGAAUACAGAUCAGCAUAUUGAAGUUGAAUGCUGACAUGAUAAUAAUACAAGUUACUUACUUGGAGUUGAUGUGGAAAUUACACAAGGCAUAGAACGACACGGACCCCAGACCUGCACCGUGGAAAACUCACUAAAGCUGUCUCCAAAGGGCUGUGAAGGCGACCAUGCCUCUACCCAAUGUGCCGCUCUCAGAAAACCACCAGAGGGGCCAGUGACAGAGACUAUUGUGUUUCGCUUACUGUGUUAAGUUAUACCAAGGGGAAAUUAUCUUUGAAAAUAUGAGACAUUUUGCCAGCAGAAAUAAUUGGAUCCUCAAAGGCUUGGAAAAAUUGUCGUCUUCUAGAACUCAAAUAAUAGGAAAUAAAACCGGAAAUAAAAAAGAAAUGCUUUGAGAAAAAUAUUAAAAGCCCAGAAAAGUUUCUAGUUGAAGAAGAAAAUGUAUCCUUGUGGCAGAAAGCAACCUAAAGACAUCCGCCUUUGACCUAAACAGUGCUUCCAUGUGUCUUCAGAAGAACCACUACUAAGGUGAAAACGCACGGUAUGGGGACAAGCUCCUUCUUAUGUGUAGAGAAACAAAUUCAGUGCGGUUAUGGAGCCCAGCACAGGACACAGGAUCCCGAAACAUGGUCCCCACAUCAGAAACUGCACAGUGGAAACGCCAUGCGAUAGCCAUGCAUCCACCACACAGGACAGGAUGUGAGGGAAGCAGAGGCGGCACAUUCCAAGGACGUGCUAGGUUUGCAGCCAUCAGGACUCGCAUAUGCUACUGGUAGAGUAUGAAUUACUAAAACCACGUGGGGGAAAAAGUGUAGCAAUAUCCACCAAAGCUGAACACGUGCCUACCUACCCACGAAGGUGCACACGUAAGUUUACCAAAAACAUGCUUAUAGAUGCAGCAUCCACACUAGCAACAAAACACGACUAGAAACUACUAGAAGGUCCUUCAGCAGUGGAAUGGAUAAUUAAAUAGACUGUAAUAUUUUCGCACCAUGGCACACCAUGCAGUCAUGAACACAAGAUGCCUACAACUGCACACAGCAGUGGGGCUGCAACCUCACAGACCAAACAUGGAGCAGAAUAAAACAGACACAAGCAAAAUACGCUGCGUGAUUCCAUUCAUAUUCAGGCAGACACAGGCCCAGCUGAUCUGGGCUCUUAAGAACUGGGAUACAGAGAAAGUCCCCAGCCCACCUCAGGCUCAGAUGUACUUGAUUCUCCGCAGACCACCAGGGUGGAGGCCUCCUGCCCCCCAGGCCGAGCAGCCAGUCUCCCUGAGCAGACACAGAAGUCAGAAAUAAUGUUCUGUGAUCUUCGGCCAGUGAAACCUGUGGAUUUGCUUAUUACAGGGGCCAGCAUUACUUAUUACAGGGGCCAUAAUUACUUGUGUAAAGUAAUUUCUUUACACAAGCUACAUAGCUACAUAGUUGACUAUAAGCUUUUAAGCCACACCUCUGAAUUUUCUUCAUCUCUACGGCACUUACAUGCUAACAAAUACUGCAGGACGAUUUUUCAGGUAACGGAGGAGAGGAUAUACCCAAAGUCUAACUCAGAGCAGACAUUCACAAAUUACGAGUUCGUGACUAUUUUUAUCUUAAAAGUGUAAUCUGUUUAGACUCUUUUUCCAUGAAGACUUUCUACUUUAUUAAUCACCCAUUCUGUGUCCAUGGAAAUUCCUGCUUGGGGAUGCAUCCUUUUUCUACCUCCAUUAUUUAAAAUACUGUGGGCACUUCCAAAAUGUUGGUUGAAGAAGGAGGAUAACAUUGUCUCCCUCCUCAAGGAAAACACUAAAUGCUCUGUCAUUUUAAAAUAUUGCUCAAAAUUGUCUUACAAGAAGAUUCUACGACAUCCUUAUCCAAGGAAAAACAUAAAGAGUUCAUCGAUUCUUCAGUGAGCACUGCCGAGAGACUUUCUUUCUUAAUCCAGCUUGUGAUGAGUUUAUUUAAUUGUGGAAGGACUUUCACAAAAUAUUGGAAUUCCUCACAGUUACUGGAGUGUGUCCUCUGAUUAUGAAAUACAAGAAGGAUUGCGGGAGCUUAGGAGUUAAAUUGCUGAACCUUCUGUUGAUCUGGCUGGAAGUGGCCUUUAAGUUAUUCUAAAUAAUGCUUACACAAUGCUGAAGUGCAUAGAGUUUGGCAAUCAUGAGAUUAACUUUCCCUGAAACCACCCAGAAGAUGCUUUAUUCUAUCAAUUUCUCAUGAAAAAUCAAUAUGAUUAACCUUGAAAUUUAUUUCUAACUGUGGAAGAUGCACAUUUCAAAACAGACUCUUGAGCUUCUUUUGUCCUAUGAAACCAGCCAUACUUCAUGGAAAAUAGGCAGUCAAUCAGUGAAUGUCUAUUUCUGGCUAUGAUUUCUACCCACAGAAACAUAUAGUAAAUUCAAUAUGGCUCUUGAAAGCCUUUCAAAAGUUCUUUCUCUCUGGAAAAUGCCUUGCGAACAUGAAUAAUGUCUUUCUCCAUUAGUGUGGCAUGGCAUUUAUCUUUGUAGAUUAAACAAGCGAAUCAGCUGGCAACUUGUGCCUCAGAAGGCAACAUCACAGCCACUUUAUUAGAGAAUGCCGGUAGCUGGAAUCUUAAUUUUGGAAGGACUUUCACACACACACACGCACACACACACACACACACACACACACAAAGGAUCCUUGUGGCAGAAAGCAACCUAAAGACAUCCCCUUUUGAACUAAACAGUGCUCCCACAUGUCUUCAGAAGAGCCACUGCUAAAUCGAAAAGCUCCUUCUAAUGUGGACAAAAACAAAUUGCAUCAUCAGCCAAUGAGACGAGACUGAACUUGCAUCCUUUUCCCACGGCAGAGCAUCUGGGAAGGGGGUUUGUGCCAGGUGCUCAUAUUUACCUAAUCUACCUGUGUCAGAACAAAACCUGGGAUGUGUCCUUCAUGGCACUGGGGUGAGAUGUUUUAGACUCAUGCAAAAAUGUCCAUGAAAUGUAAUGCUUUUUCCACUCGUGAAGGAAAAUAUUUUCUGAUAUUAAAAAGAUAGUCUUUGAAGGUA